This 120-nucleotide ribosomal RNA is filed under the name uncultured bacterium. Its description in RNAcentral is "partial 16S ribosomal RNA". It matches the Rfam family "Bacterial small subunit ribosomal RNA", at positions 215 to 334 of the family's 1533-position model. The record is from RNAcentral.
UCGCCUGAGGAUGAGCCCGCGUAGGAUUAGCUAGUUGGUGAGGUAAAAGCUCACCAAGGCGACGAUCCUUAGCUGGUCUGAGAGGAUGAUCAGCCACACUGGGACUGAGACACGGCCCAG